UCCUUCAUAUCUAGUUCCUCAAUAACCAAACAGAUUCCAUUAGGGUCAUUAGGAACUCACUAAUUUCAUGAAAAUGUACUAAUUACUAACAUGAUUACCAUUGACCAGAACACUAAAAAAGAGUAUAUUAGCUAAUGAGUAAUUGUGAUUGCUUCUUCUGGACUUAACUAUCUCUAAAUGGAUUGAACACAAUUCAGAACUCUAGAUCAAACUCUUAUCCUACUUUAAUCACAUCAAAAUAGAGCAAAAGAAUCAGAAAAUGAACCCGAAAUAGCCCCUUGAUUGAUAAACAAAGUCCAGUAAUUACAUGAACGAAAUGGAACCAUAGCCUCAAUCAAAAAUCACAAAGCAAUCCGACCCAGACGGAAUCGCGAACAAAACCUCGAAGACAAACAAUCGAUGGGGGUCAAUCAGACCAGAACUCGAAUCGCCACUGGAACGACGACCUCAAACCGUUUCUAACAUCUCAGCUCCAAAUCUGUUUAUAUUUUUCAGCAUGAGUGUGUGUGUUUUGUGAAGAAUAUAACAGGUAGUGAGGGGUUGUUCAUUUCUGCUCGACUGUGGCUAUCUUUUUGGUGUAUUUUCCACUGGUUCAGCGUUGGGAUCUGAAGGCGAUGGGGUGUUCUAAGUGAUGAAAGGGCUGUUUGUCUCGGGUUUUUUUUGGUUAAAAAUCAGACAUUUUCAUGGCUGCUUGAAGAAUAUGAUGAACAUGGUGUCCGAAUGUUUUAAAUUUUUUCUUUUUGUUCUCUCCGUCUCCGUCUGUCUUUUGUGUAAUUGUUUUCC
RNAcentral lists this long non-coding RNA (783 nucleotides) under Nicotiana benthamiana. RNAcentral describes it as "long non-coding RNA (NBEN_LNC040450)". Lineage: Eukaryota; Viridiplantae; Streptophyta; Magnoliopsida; Solanales; Solanaceae. The record is from RNAcentral.